RNAcentral lists this unclassified non-coding RNA (1056 nucleotides) under Hevea brasiliensis (rubber tree). The record is from RNAcentral. Lineage: Eukaryota; Viridiplantae; Streptophyta; Magnoliopsida; Malpighiales; Euphorbiaceae.
UGGUCCGUUAUCCACAUCAAAACUGUAUUCCAGAGGAUGAAAAACUAAUCACUUUUCAAAAUUGCAAAGCAGAAUACAGGGAGAAACAGAGUUGUCAAAAUGCCAAAACGGAAAGCAUUUUAUUUCCUAAGAUAUAUAAUUCCUAUUGAACCAGUAACAUUAAGUUUCCAAACAACUCACUAUAAAGAAAGCAUCACUGAUUUGUUUUAGAGAAGUAACAUGAAAUAAUAAUUUGUCUGCUGUAGAGUACAUAAAAAAUUAACUGUUUGAAGACAAAUGUCAACAUGCAUUCUGAUGGUUUGCAUUAAGCAUCUGCUACCUUUAAUUUCUCAAACAUGUCUGAGUUCUUUGUAAAUUUUCCGAAAGACUUUAACGAGUUACAUGAUUUAUGAACAGAAAAUAUAUUCAGAUAGUUUUACAAUACAAUGUUUCAUAUUGCAUUUCACGUUAAUAAUUGAGAUGAUCACUGAAACAUGACCAAUAAUAAAGGCAAUUUAGCAAGCCACACCAAGAAAAUAUACCCUUCUUGAACCUUCAUUUAUGUGCAGCUUCAAUGCAAUACAGUCAGUAUUUAAAGGUUCAUUACUUAUACUUCCUGGGUUGAAAGUGAAAGUUUGCAAUGGAUCUUUUGUCAAAGAUGGCCAAUGAUUUGAUAAAUAAGUCCACUGUAAUUAGUACAACACAAAGUAUGCCAAAAAUUCUGAAAGGUAACCAUUCUUUCUUUCCUUUCUCUCGUCUCCUUUCUUCAAAAUAUAUCUAAGUAAUUGUUUUACAAACAUUGGUAUAAAGGUUAAAUUGUAAAAAACAAAAAUUUGAAAUGUUGCAAGGAGGAAAAAUGACAAUGAAUAGAAAUGUUAAUCACAUCAAACCAACAACCAUAUGAUGCAUCAAAUUCAGGCAUAUAAUCACCAACUCAGCAAAAUGUUCAUCUAAGUAUGAAGAUUUAUUGGUCUUAUUCGGUCAAACAUCAAGCUAAUUAAUAAAAGACGAGAACUUGUAUAACCAAUGUGGCAAUAGAAAAGGUAAACCUUAUAUCAAAUGAAACCCCACUUUGUC